CCCUAACCGNGCGAAGGNAGCAUAAUCACUUGUUUCUUAAAUGGGGACUAGUAUCAACGGCAUCACGAAGACUACACGUCUCCCCCCUAAAAUCAAUGAAACUAAUCCCCUCGUGAAGAAGCGAGGAUAUAAAUAUAAGACGAGAAGACCCCAUGGAGCUUUAAACAAACCUCAACUGCUCCCUCCCUGAUCAUAGAAAUUGAGCAUUAAUGACGGGUAGUUUUCGGUUGGGGUGACCGCGGAGUAAAACAAAACCUCCACAAUGAAUGUAAUAAAAUACUAAUAAAAGAACCACAAUUCUAAUAAUCAAAAAAUUGACAUAUUUGACCCAAACACUUGAUCAAUGAACCAAGUUACCCUGGGGAUAACAGCGCAAUCCAUUUUAAGAGCCCUUAUCGACAAAUGGGUUUACGACCUCGAUGUUGGAUCAGGGUAUCCUAGUGGUGCAGCCGCUACUAAUGGUUCGUUUGUUCAACGAUUAAAACCCUACGUGAUCUG
Molecule: ribosomal RNA, 498 nt
Filed under: Leptopelis flavomaculatus
Lineage: Eukaryota; Metazoa; Chordata; Amphibia; Anura; Arthroleptidae
Description: partial 16S ribosomal RNA
Rfam family: Bacterial large subunit ribosomal RNA
Source: RNAcentral